Molecule: ribosomal RNA, 253 nt
Filed under: uncultured bacterium
Lineage: Bacteria
Description: partial 16S ribosomal RNA
Rfam family: Bacterial small subunit ribosomal RNA
Source: RNAcentral
GACGAACCACCCAAACGUUAUUCGGAAUUACUGGGCUUAAAGGGUGCGUAGGCUGUGCGGAAAGUUGGGUGUGAAAUACCUCAGCUUAACUGAGGAACUGCGCUCAAAACUACCGUGCUCGAGGGAGACAGAGGUGAGCGGAACUUAGGGUGGAGCGGUGAAAUGCGUUGAUAUCCUAAGGAACACCGGUGGCGAAAGCGGCUCACUGGAUCUCUUCUGACGCUGAGGCACGAAAGCGAGGGUAGCGAACGGG